This 395-nucleotide ribosomal RNA is filed under the name uncultured bacterium. RNAcentral describes it as "bacterial SSU rRNA". It matches the Rfam family "Bacterial small subunit ribosomal RNA", at positions 28 to 417 of the family's 1533-position model. The record is from RNAcentral.
GACGAACGCUGGCGGCGUGCCUAACACAUGCAAGUGGAGCGACGAACCGGGCUUCGGCCCGGGGCAAAGCCGCGAACGGGUGAGUAACACGUGGGUAACCUGCCCUGAUGAUUGGGACAACCCGAGGAAACUCGGGCUAAUACCAAAUGUGCCCUCCGGCCUCAAGGCCGCUGGGGAAAGGAAGCUUCGGCCUCCGCAUCGGGAUGGGCCCGCGGCCCAUUAGCUUGUUGGUGAGGUAACGGCUCACCAAGGCGACGAUGGGUAGCUGGUCUGAGAGGACGAUCAGCCACACUGGGACUGAGACACGGCCCAGACUCCUACGGGAGGCAGCAGUGGGGAAUCUUGCGCAAUGCGCGAAAGCGUGACGCAGCAACGCCGCGUGGGGAAGAAGGCCU